RNAcentral lists this transfer RNA (85 nucleotides) under Candidatus Omnitrophota bacterium. RNAcentral describes it as "tRNA-Leu". It matches the Rfam family "tRNA". Rfam says of the family: Transfer RNA (tRNA) molecules are approximately 80 nucleotides in length. Their secondary structure includes four short double-helical elements and three loops (D, anti-codon, and T loops). Lineage: Bacteria; Pseudomonadati; Candidatus Omnitrophota. The record is from RNAcentral.
GCGGAAGUGGCGGAACUGGCAUACGCGCAGGUCUCAGAAGCCUGUGCUGCAAGGCUUGAGGGUUCAAAUCCCUCCUUCCGCACCA